Molecule: ribosomal RNA, 455 nt
Filed under: Sibynophis collaris (collared black-headed snake)
Lineage: Eukaryota; Metazoa; Chordata; Lepidosauria; Squamata; Sibynophiidae
Description: partial 12S ribosomal RNA
Source: RNAcentral
ACCCUACUAUGCCUGACCCCGACAUGGCAAUUAAAUAACCAAUUGCCCGCCAAAUAACUACGAGUAAAAACUUAAAAUUUAAAAGACUUGACGGUACCUCAAAACAACCUAGAGGAGCCUGUCUAGUAACCGAUACUCCACGAUCAACCCUACCCUUUCUAGCCAACAGUCUAUAUACCGCCGUCGCCAGCUUACCUUAUGAAAGAAACAAAGUAAGCCUAAUAGUCCAACACUAGUACGACAGGUCGAGGUGUAACUCAUGAACGGGCUCAGAUGGGCUACAUUUUCUAACCCAGAAAAUACGAAUAACCUAUGAAACUAGAAACUGAAGGCGGAUUUAGCAGUACGCUAAGAACAAAAUACUUAGCUGAAAUAAGCGCAAUGAGGUGCGUACACACCGCCCGUCAUCCCUGUCAAAACACAAUAAACUACAUAAAAUUAGUACCACCAAAGCA